Molecule: ribosomal RNA, 253 nt
Filed under: uncultured bacterium
Lineage: Bacteria
Description: partial 16S ribosomal RNA
Rfam family: Bacterial small subunit ribosomal RNA
Source: RNAcentral
UACAGAGGGUGCGAGCGUUAAUCGGAAUUACUGGGCGUAAAGCGCGCGUAGGCGGCUUUGCAAGUCGGGUGUGAAAUCCCCAGGCUUAACCUGGGAACUGCAUUCGAGACUGCAUUGCUAGAGUAUGGGAGAGGGAAGUGGAAUUUCCGGUGUAGCGGUGAAAUGCGUAGAUAUCGGAAGGAACAUCAGUGGCGAAGGCGGCUUCCUGGACCGAUACUGACGCUGAGGCGCGAAAGCUAGGGGAGCAAACGGG